GACAGAGGGGGCAAGCGUUGCUCGGAAUCACUGGGCGUAAAGGGCGCGUAGGCGGGAUGGCAAGUCAGUCGUGAAAUCUCUCGGCUCAACCGAGAAACGUCGGCCGAUACUGCCGUUCUUGAGGGAUGCAGAGGAGACUGGAAUUCCCGGUGUAGCGGUGAAAUGUGUAGAGAUCGGGAGGAACACCGGUGGCGAAGGCGGGGUCUCUGGGCAUUUCCUGACGCUCAUGCACGAAAGCGUGGGGAGCAAACAGG
RNAcentral lists this ribosomal RNA (254 nucleotides) under uncultured bacterium. RNAcentral describes it as "partial 16S ribosomal RNA". It matches the Rfam family "Bacterial small subunit ribosomal RNA", at positions 524 to 776 of the family's 1533-position model. The record is from RNAcentral.